GACGAACGCUGGCGGCGUGCUUAACACAUGCAAGUCGAACGCUGAAGCACCAGCUUGCUGGUGUGGAUGAGUGGCGAACGGGUGAGUAAUACGUGAGUAACCUGCCCUUGACUCUGGGAUAAGCCCGGGAAACUGGGUCUAAUACUGGAUGCCACAUGUCACCGCAUGGUGGUGUGUGGAAAGGGUUUACUGGUCUUGGAUGGGCUCACGGCCUAUCAGCUUGUUGGUGAGGUAAUGGCUCACCAAGGCGACGACGGGUAGCCGGCCUGAGAGGGUGACCGGCCACACUGGGACUGAGACACGGCCCAGACUCCUACGGGAGGCAGCAGUGGGGAAUAUUGCACAAUGGGCGAAAGCCUGAUGCAGCGACGCCGCGUGAGGGAUGACGGCCUUCGGGUUGUAAACCUCUUUCAGCAGGGAAGAAGCCACAAGUGACGGUACCUGCAGAAGAAGCGCCGGCUAACUACGUG
Molecule: ribosomal RNA, 470 nt
Filed under: uncultured bacterium
Lineage: Bacteria
Description: partial 16S ribosomal RNA
Rfam family: Bacterial small subunit ribosomal RNA
Source: RNAcentral